CGCCAGACUCCUACGGGAGGCAGCAGUGGGGAAUAUUGCACAAUGGGGGAAACCCUGAUGCAGCGACGCCGCGUGAGUGAAGAAGUAUUUCGGUAUGUAAAGCUCUAUCAGCAGGGAAGAAAAUGACGGUACCUGAUUAAGAAGCCCCGGCUAACUACGUGCCAGCAGCCGCGGUAAUACGUAGGGGGCAAGCGUUAUCCGGAUUUACUGGGUGUAAAGGGAGCGUAGACGGCUGUGCAAGCCAGAUGUGAAAGCCCGGGGCUCAACCCCGGGACUGCAUUUGGAACUGUGUGGCUGGAGUGUCGGAGAGGCAGGCGGAAUUCCUAGUGUAGUGGUGAAAUGCGUAGAUAUUAGGAGGAACACCAGUGGCGAAGGCGGCCUGCUGGACGAUGACUGACGUUGAGGCUCGAAAGCGUGGGGAGCAAACAGGAUUAGAUACCCUCGUAC
This 447-nucleotide ribosomal RNA is filed under the name uncultured bacterium. RNAcentral describes it as "bacterial SSU rRNA". It matches the Rfam family "Bacterial small subunit ribosomal RNA", at positions 329 to 793 of the family's 1533-position model. The record is from RNAcentral.